CUGCAUCAUAAAUAAAUAAGAAAAAGGAAAAAGAAGACUCAUUUGUAAGACUAUUAAGCUUUAUUGAAUUUAUUGAAUUGGCUUGAUUUAAUCUUUCCACAAUGUAAACAUCUAUCAAAACAUUACAGUGUACUCCAUAGUAUAUGCAAUUAUUUGUCAGUUAAAGUUAACACUUUAAAAAUACCCGAGUUAAUAAAUAGGAUUCAGUUGGAAGACUAUUAAGCUUUCUUUCCCCAAUAUCUCUGCCUUAGAAUUUUCAAAUUAAUGUGAUCCCUGGCCAUUUAUAUUUUUAAAAACCAGAACACAGAGACUUUUUAAAAAUUUAAGUUCCGUGGUACAUGUAAAACAUGUUUUGUCCUCUAUUGUAAGUACUAUAUAAUCCUGAUUUUACUGAUAAGUCUUUGAGUGAUUUUAUGGUGAAAUAAAAGUAUUCAAAGUCACAAGGUUUUUACAUGGCAGAACUAGGGUUUGUCUCUAGUCUGUAUCCAGAGCCCACACUCCUAAUCAGUACAUUUAGGAAGAAGAAACAGACAUUUGUUGAACUAUGUCAGCCCAUGGUGGCUGGUGUAACAGUGAGACCAUAGCUCUUUUAUCUAUGUUUCUGUAGUCAUUCUACAUUGUAGCAGAUGGUAUUUAUUUAAGAAAAAGUAAUAAUUUUAAAAAUAAAAACAUUAAUAAACAUCAUAGUUAAUUGUACUAGACAACUUGGCUGUUGAUGCAGAUAAUUCCUUGGACUCCCCCAUAAUGAAUGAAUUAUUUUUCCUUUUAGGAACUCAGAGUGGUUUUCCAGAUGGGAAUCACAUUGCUCUCUGUCCCUGAGAUCUUGCAGGAGGCAGGGAUACUCAAUCCCUCUUUGCCAGAGGAAACACUUGUUGUUCUGUCUGAGGCCCUGCCUGUCAUCUUAAAAGCCAGUCAAUUCAUAUGGUCUCCAUAUCAAGGUCUCUUGUGCCCAGAGAGAGGAUUUCAUUUCAACCACCACCAUCACCACCAUCAUCAUCAUCACCAAGAGGGGUUGCUGAACUGAUAUUGGAAAAGCAGUUUCUAUUGAGCACCCAAAUGAAGAGAGAGCGCAGAACAAGAGGCAGGACUCACAAGUCCUUGACCUUCUCAUUAGACUCAUUAGCACCUACAGGACCCUGCAUCAAGAUUUCAUCUGCAUUAUCAGCUUCUUCAAAGAGAGAGAGGUUGUUGAGUGAGUACCCACAAGGGCACAGUACUAAAAACAUGUAAAAUUACAAGUGUGUACGUCCUAAAAGGUUAUGAUCUAUAAAAAAGAUAGCUAGGUGUCCUUUGGGGAGGGUA
Molecule: long non-coding RNA, 1302 nt
Filed under: Macaca mulatta (Rhesus monkey)
Lineage: Eukaryota; Metazoa; Chordata; Mammalia; Primates; Cercopithecidae
Description: lncRNA (ENSMMUG00000059446.1)
Source: RNAcentral